AGUUUGAUCCUGGCUCAGAAUGAACGCUGGCGGUAGGCUUANCNCCUGCAAGUCGAACGGAAACGAUGAAAAGCUUGCUUUUCAGGCGUCGAGUGGCGGACGGGUGAGUAACGCGUGGGAAUCUACCCUAUAGUUGGGGACAACAUAUGGAAACGUAUGCUAAUACCGAAUGUGAUCUACGGAUUAAAGGAGCCCUCUUCAUGAAAGGUUUCGCUAUAGGAUGAGCCCGCGUUAGAUUAGCUAGUUGGUGAGGUAAAGGCUCACCAAGGCCACGAUCUAUAGCUGGUUUGAGAGGAUGAUCAGCCACACUGGGACUGAGACACGGCCCAGACUCCUACGGGAGGCAGCAGUGGGGAAUAUUGCACAAUGGACGCAAGUCUGAUGCAGCCAUACCGCGUGUGUGAAGAAGGCCCCGAGGGUUGUAAAGCACUUUCAGUUACGGAGGAAGAUAGUAAGGUUAAUACCCUUAUUGUUUGACGU
Molecule: ribosomal RNA, 480 nt
Filed under: uncultured bacterium
Lineage: Bacteria
Description: bacterial SSU rRNA
Rfam family: Bacterial small subunit ribosomal RNA
Source: RNAcentral